GACGAACGCUGGCGGCGUGCUUAACACAUGCAAGUCGAACGAAGUGGCGAACGGGUGAGUAACGCGUAAUCAACCUGCCCUUCAGAGGGGGACAACAGUUGGAAACGACUGCUAAUACCGCAUACGGAAGGAGGGGUGUGCGUUUGAUUAGCUGGUUGGAGGGGUAACGGCCAGCCAAGGCGAUGAUCAGUUGCCGGUCGGAGAGGAGGAACGGGCACAUUGGGACUGAGACACGGCCCAGACUCGUACGGGAGGCAGCAGUGGGGAAUCGGCCGCAAUGGAGGACAGUCUGACGGAGCAACGCCGCGUGAGUGAUGACGGCCUUCGGGUUGUAAAGCUCUGUUAAUCGGGACGCGGUACCGGAAUAGAAAGCCACGGCUAACUACGUGCCAGCAGCCGCGGUAAUUC
Molecule: ribosomal RNA, 408 nt
Filed under: uncultured bacterium
Lineage: Bacteria
Description: partial 16S ribosomal RNA
Rfam family: Bacterial small subunit ribosomal RNA
Source: RNAcentral